UGGUGUUAAAGCUUCUGUUUCACAUGCACACUGUUGAUGAAUUAAAGACAAAGAAAAACAAAAGCAAAGUUAGGAGAGUCAAUGAUGGUGACAACUCAAGGGAACUGAGAGAUGGCUCUAGUGAUUUAAAUAGCUUACAAAGCUCGGGGCACGAGGCAGCAAUCGCAACAACAACUAAUUUACAGCAGAUUAUAAACUUCCCAAAAUAUUCAGGACAUCAGCAGGGCUGAGUGUAAAAGCAGGAUGACCAGUCCUAUUGUCGAGCCAUACUGGGCAACAGGAGGUGUGUCUGGCCGGCAUCAUCUUUCCCCGGGAGUAAAGUGGGCCUACAGAAAAGUACUCAGAACAGCCUGAAAGUGAAGCCUGGGGAUGGAGUGACUCUUCACCCCCUGAUAGGGUCUGUGUUACAGGCAGAAGAUGUGCAUCUCUCCACCAGAUGGAAAGAUCCCACUCUCUGGAAACUUACUCUCCCUGAUGUAUUUUGGCGGAGCGUGUAGUCUGCGGGUGACGGGGGUCGACGGCCUUUCCCUUUUCCCGGCCUACUCCGGGACUGGAGCCUGAUACAGAGGAGGCCUCUGACGCUGGGCUCCACCUUCGCCCUGGGCUCCACCUUCGCCCUGGGCUCCACCUUCGCCCUGGGCUCCACCUCCGCCCAGGGCUCCACCUCCAUGGACCUGAGGUGCAGGCCAGGGAUCCGGGGCAGCCUGGUCCUGCAUCCAGUACCCCCUGCAGGCCUGCCUGUGUGCCAUGUGUCCCUCCAACUCUCCCCGGCAACCCCCAGACUCCCGCUGAGUCUGAACAGGGCAGUCUCAGUCUAGAGGUGGAGAAUAAGGUGAAGUUCAGAGACGGGCACAAAGAGGCUCAAGAGGAGGAGGAUACGGCAGCCCUGAGAUCAAAAGUCAUAUACAGUAUGAUCCCGAGAGAGACUUCUCCAACUACGGAAUCACACCUCCUAGGGGGGUUCUCCUUUAUGGCCCCCCGGGAACAGGAAAGACUAUGAUUGGAUGAGCCAUAGCCAAUGAGGUCGGGGCACAUAUGACCGUAAUCAACCGUCCAUAAAUCAUGAGCAAAUUUUAUGGUGAAACAGAGGUCAGAUUGAGGCAGAUAUUCACAGGAGCCUCUCAAAGCGAAUCAGUCUAAUGAGAAAAAGAGAGCGCAGGCCCACGAUCAGAGAUGGCUCGACAGCCGCCCUCCGGCCCUUUAGAGAACACAGGGAGCCUGGGAAACCCAUCACCGCUGGUCGCCAUGAUGUGCCAAAUUGGCAUCACGCUAUGGCCAAGUAUAUCUUCAUCUCCCCAACCCAGCUCCUUGGUGCAGAUGGUGCACUGAAGCAGCCGCUCUCCCUCCUGCUAUCUGUUUUCCAUACCGAUGCUAAGGCUUGUUGUAUAAUCCAAGGUCACCAACCACCAAGGGCCUGCUGCUGUGGAAUGUGGCGAGAGCACUUCCUGCUCCCAGAAUUCUUCUCUCCACUCUCACUGUAAUUUAUUUGUGUUUUGGUCCCUCUGCUGGGCCUGUGGCAUAGGGGGAGGUGGAAAUAGCAUUAUUUCUCAGCUGGACCACCUAUUUUAGAACAUAGUACAAGGAGCUCUGUUAUACUAUUAAUAUUGUAUUGCCAGAUAAUGCCUGAUAGUGUCAGAAGAUGUAAACCAGUAAUUUAUUAAGCCUUCAGACACAUUUAUGGUCUGGAAAUGUCCUUUAUGUUUGAGCUUUUGGUGCCGGGGUCAUUGGUUAGGGCUAAGAUUAUUGAUUAAUAAUUUAUGACAACUACAUGCUCAAAUUCAAGCACAGUCAUACUACCUUAAAAGCAUACUUGCUUCGUCCUACUGUUCCAAUUGCUCUCUCACAUUCAAACCCCUCAUUUAUUGAUUUAACGCCUGUUUUACCAGGGAAGUUGACAAAGUUGAAUGCACAUUCUCAUACCACUGUAACAUUCCUAACUGUCCUGGUUUGUCUCUUCCUCCAGGAGGGCCACUCAGGCCAGCUGCUGGUCCUAGGGGCCACCAACUGGCCCCACCCCCUGGACCCAGCUCUCUAAAUCAAAUUUUAUUUGUCACAUGCGCCGAAUACAACAGGUGUAGACCUUAACGUGAAAUGCUUACUUAC
Long non-coding RNA from Salvelinus namaycush (lake trout), 2103 nucleotides. RefSeq lists it as uncharacterized. Lineage: Eukaryota; Metazoa; Chordata; Actinopteri; Salmoniformes; Salmonidae. The transcript is spliced from 7 exons. The record is from RefSeq and is a predicted model, not a curated record.